AUGCUCACACUGACAGCAAAUACACUAAAAUUGGACAAAUCCAGAGAAGAUUGGCAUAGACCCUGCGUAAGGAUGCCACAAUUCAUGAAACAUUCCAUAUUUAA
Small nuclear RNA from Peromyscus maniculatus bairdii (prairie deer mouse), 104 nucleotides. Lineage: Eukaryota; Metazoa; Chordata; Mammalia; Rodentia; Cricetidae. The record is from Ensembl.